CUCUUGCAUCAUGAAAAUUAUUUUAUACAUGUGUGCGCGUGUGUGCAGGCGUGUGCAUAAGAACACAAAUGUGUUACAUUUAUUAAUUGUGAUAUGUGAUAGAUUAUGGAUGACCCACUAAUUCCAAAAUGAAAAAGGAAAUGAAAGAAUGAAAUAACAAGUAUGCAAAUGAGCUUAAUGUUACAUAAAGUUAUGGGAUAUCAAGGCAAGGCAAUCUGUGUCUCCGUCAUUCAAUAUAUUAUGUGUCGUAUAAGAGGAAGUUCUAACGAGCUCCUAUAGAAUGCUAGGCACAUUGAAAUAAUGGAAUGAAAUGUUUGAGGAAAUCAUUGGUGAGAUGGCUACCAUUUAUGAAUUGUUUGAGUUUGUGUAAACCAUGCAUAUGCUGCAUUUUAUGUACUUGAAAAUUUCUUUAAAUAUUAUUUUUGCCUCUUUCUUAGUUUCACUACUCAUUGAGUUUAUAUACUCACACCACUACUUUUGUCUACCUCUUCAAUGCGAAGAGUAGAAGAUUAGGUCAACAGAUUUUGAAUAAAUAAACUCUAAGAUUUGAUGUGACACUUUUUAAAUAUUCUUAUAUUGUAUUCUUUUAAUGGAGCUUCUUUGAAACAUGUGUGAUUUUGAUCAUCUUUUUGUACUGUCCUUGCUACUAUUGAUUUUGUAUUAAUGAGCUACUUUUUAUGUUUUGCCCAUUUUAUUGGUACUAUGACUAUCGUAUGAUAUACUAUGCAUAGAGCACUUAUUUACCUUGAUUCUACUCAUAAAAAGGAAUGUAUAAUUAAGCACGCUUACGAAACAUGAAUGCCCAGUUUAGAAAGUUUAUGAAUAUGUGAUAGAUGUGAAAUCUGGUUGGUAAAUAUGUGGGUCCAUGGAAA
Molecule: unclassified non-coding RNA, 872 nt
Filed under: Hevea brasiliensis (rubber tree)
Lineage: Eukaryota; Viridiplantae; Streptophyta; Magnoliopsida; Malpighiales; Euphorbiaceae
Source: RNAcentral